UACAGGGGGGGCAAGCGUUGUUCGGAAUUACUGGGCGUAAAGGGUCUGUAGGUGGCCAACUAAGUCAGACGUGAAAUCCCUCAGCUUAACUGGGGAACUGCGUCUGAUACUGGAUGGCUUGAGUGUGGGAGAGGAAUGCGGAAUUCCAGGUGUAGCGGUGAAAUGCGUAGAUAUCUGGAGGAACACCGGUGGCGAAGGCGGCAUCCUGGACCAACACUGACGCUGAGUGAGCGAAAGCCAGGGGAGCAAACGGG
RNAcentral lists this ribosomal RNA (254 nucleotides) under uncultured bacterium. RNAcentral describes it as "partial 16S ribosomal RNA". It matches the Rfam family "Bacterial small subunit ribosomal RNA", at positions 524 to 776 of the family's 1533-position model. The record is from RNAcentral.